Molecule: long non-coding RNA, 581 nt
Filed under: Canis lupus dingo (dingo)
Lineage: Eukaryota; Metazoa; Chordata; Mammalia; Carnivora; Canidae
Description: lncRNA (ENSCAFG00020008515.1)
Source: RNAcentral
UUUUUUUUUAAUCCUUUUAAGUUGCAACCUGGGAGUAAAUCUUUGCUCAAGAAAAAAAAAAUUUUUUUAAGGUUUUAUCCAUUUAUUCAUGAGAGACAGAGAGAGGCAGAGGGAGAAGCAGGCUCCAUGCAGAGAGCCCUAUGCGGGACUCAAUCCAGGAACUCCAGGAUCACACGCUGAGCCUAAGGCAGAGGCCUAACCGCUGAGCCACCCAGGCUUCCCUGCUCAAGAAAAUUUUAAAAUAAGAGUCGUACUACCAAAACGCAGGGAACAUGGAUGGUUUUGAAAAACAAAAAGCAAACAAAACCUGCGCGUUAGUGCACGAGGCUCAUAGCUCCACAAGGCAAACUUGUGGCAGGCCUCAGUAAAUACUUUUUCAACGAGCAGCCCCUGAAUCUUGGAAGAAAGAUGCCAGCAGGCAGUCAGGGCGCGUUAUGUGGAGGAGAGGACUGGGUCUUUGCGUGAAGUGCUUUUUAAUAGCGGCUGGGGCCGUGGAUGCAGGCCUCCCCCGACGGCCACGGGAAGGCACAGGUCUUGAUGAGGAGGAGAUGGAGGACUCAGAACCAAGAAUUUCCAAGUGA